GGCGGCGUAGCUCAGUCUGGCAGAGCAAACGGCUCAUACCCGUUAUGCCACAGGUUCAAAUCCUGUCGCCGCCA
RNAcentral lists this transfer RNA (74 nucleotides) under Candidatus Omnitrophota bacterium. RNAcentral's name for it is "tRNA-Met". It matches the Rfam family "tRNA". Rfam says of the family: Transfer RNA (tRNA) molecules are approximately 80 nucleotides in length. Their secondary structure includes four short double-helical elements and three loops (D, anti-codon, and T loops). Lineage: Bacteria; Pseudomonadati; Candidatus Omnitrophota. The record is from RNAcentral.